AUUGCUUCUCAGCCUUUUGGCUGAGAUCAAGUGUAAAAAACUAAUAAUAGUAAUUCUUUUUUUUCCACAGAGGGAAGGAGAACUGGAUAAAACUAUU
RNAcentral lists this small RNA (97 nucleotides) under Marmota monax (woodchuck). The record is from RNAcentral. Lineage: Eukaryota; Metazoa; Chordata; Mammalia; Rodentia; Sciuridae.